GUGAGGAAUAUUGGUCAAUGGACGGAAGUCUGAACCAGCCAAGUAGCGUGCAGGAUGACGGCCCUAUGGAUUGUAAACUUCUUUUGCAGGAGGGUAAAGUGAGCUACGUGUAGCUCAUUGCAAGUACCCUGCGAAUAAGCAUCGGCUAACUCCGUGCCAGCAGCCGCGGUAAUACGGAGGAUGCGAGCGUUAUCCGGAUUUAUUGGGUUUAAAGGGUGCGUAGGCGGACUAAUUAGUCAGCGGUGAAAUUUUGCGGCUCAACCGUAAAACUGCCGUUGAAACUGUUAGUCUUGAGUGCGGUAGAGGUAGGCGGAAUGUGUGGUGUAGCGGUGAAAUGCUUAGAUAUCACACAGAACACCGAUUGCGUAGGCAGCUUACUGGAGCGCAACUGACGCUGAGGCACGAAAGCGUGGGGAUCGAACAGGAUUAGAUACCCCGGUAGUCC
RNAcentral lists this ribosomal RNA (445 nucleotides) under uncultured bacterium. RNAcentral's name for it is "partial 16S ribosomal RNA". It matches the Rfam family "Bacterial small subunit ribosomal RNA", at positions 354 to 796 of the family's 1533-position model. The record is from RNAcentral.